CCUACGGGUGGGCAGCAGUGAGGAACAUUGGUCAAUGGGCGCGAGCCUGAACCAGCCAAGUAGCGUGAAGGAUGACUGCCCUACGGGUUGUAAACUUCUUUUAUAGAGGAAUAAAGUGAGUCACGUGUGCCUUUUUGUCUGUACUUUAUGAAUAAGGAUCGGCUAACUCCGUGCCAGCAGCCGCGGUAAUACGGAGGGUCCGAGCGUUAUCCGGAUUUAUUGGGUUUAAAGGGAGCGUAGAUGGGUUGUUAAGUCUGUGGUGAAAGUUUGGGGCUCAACCGUAAAAUUGCAAGUGAUACUGGAAGUCUUGAGUACAGUUGAGGUAGGCGGAAUUCGUGGUGUAGCGGUGAAAUGCUUAGAUAUCACGAAGAACUCCGAUUGCGAAGGCAGCUUACUAAACUGCAACUGACAUUGAUGCUCGAAAGUGUGGGUAUCAAACAGGAUUAGAUACCCCUGUAGUC
RNAcentral lists this ribosomal RNA (461 nucleotides) under uncultured bacterium. RNAcentral describes it as "partial 16S ribosomal RNA". It matches the Rfam family "Bacterial small subunit ribosomal RNA", at positions 338 to 795 of the family's 1533-position model. The record is from RNAcentral.